UACGUAGGGUGCUAGCGUUGUCCGGAUUUAUUGGGCGUAAAGGGCUCGUAGGCGGCGUGUCGCGUCGGGGAGUGAAAGCCCGCUGCUUAACGGCGGGUUGGCUUCCGGUACGGGCAUCGCUGGAGUGCGGCAGGGGAGACUGGAAUUCCUGGUGUAGCGGUGGAAUGCGCAGAUAUCGGGAAGAACACCCGUGGCGAAGGCGGCUCUCUGGGACGGUACUGACGCUGAGACGCGAAAAGCGUGGGGGAGCGAACAGGG
Molecule: ribosomal RNA, 258 nt
Filed under: uncultured bacterium
Lineage: Bacteria
Description: partial 16S ribosomal RNA
Rfam family: Bacterial small subunit ribosomal RNA
Source: RNAcentral